RNAcentral lists this ribosomal RNA (334 nucleotides) under uncultured bacterium. RNAcentral describes it as "bacterial SSU rRNA". It matches the Rfam family "Bacterial small subunit ribosomal RNA", at positions 28 to 334 of the family's 1533-position model. The record is from RNAcentral.
GAUGAACGCUGGCGGCGUGCUUAACACAUGCAAGUCGAACGGAGAUGGCAAUUUCGAAGCAAUUAGUUUACUAAGAGCGGAGAUGCUGCCAUCUUAGUGGCGGACGGGUGAGUAACGCGUGGGUAACCUGCCUUACACUGGGGGAUAACACUUAGAAAUAGGUGCUAAUACCGCAUAACAGGGGAAGACGCAUGUCUUUUCCUUGAAAACUCCGGUGGUGUGAGAUGGACCCGCGUCUGAUUAGCUAGUUGGCGGGGUAGCGGCCCACCAAGGCGACGAUCAGUAGCCGGCCUGAGAGGGUGAACGGCCACAUUGGGACUGAGACACGGCCCAA